Long non-coding RNA from Papio anubis (olive baboon), 2987 nucleotides. NCBI's taxonomy places the organism in Eukaryota, Metazoa, Chordata, Mammalia, Primates, Cercopithecidae. The record is from Ensembl.
AUUUCGUUGAUGUGUCUCUCAACUCUAGUUCCAGUGCUGCACUGUUUUAAUUACUGUAUUUAAUUACUGUAGCUUUAAAUUGUGUGUGUUUGUGUGUGUGUAUGUGUGUGUUUUGGAGACAGAGUCUCACUCUGUCACUUAGGCUGGAGUGCAGUGGCACAAUCAUGGCUCACUGCAAGCUCUGCCUCUUGGGCUCAAGCCAUCCUCCGGCCUCAGUCUCCCAAGUAGCUGGGGUUAUAGGUGCAUGCCACCACACCCAGUUAAUUUUGUGUGUGUGUGUUUUUUGUAGAGAUGGGGUUUCACCAUGUUGCCCAGGCUGGUCUUGAACUGCUGGACUCAGACGAUCUACCUGCUUCGGCCUCCCAAAGUGCUGGGAUUACAGAUGAAGGAGCAGAGGUUAGAGAUGGAUGGAACUUGCCUUAUAGGAAGAUGGUCAAAUGGACUGGACAGUGCAAAUGGAAGAUCUGUUCUAUGCUCCUAACUCUCCAGGAGUUUACAAGGAAUAAAAUCUCUUCCAAAGGCUUUCUGUUGCAACAACUGGACCAUACUGAAAACUGAGUCCCACCAUUGUAAUCUAGGUUAGCAGGUAAUCAUUGUUGGUGGGGUCCUCCCUUUCCCCAGGCUCAUGUUUGUAUUGGGGAGCGGGAAAUUUUUGCUAGAGCAGCACUGCCAUCUCUCUACACUCCACCUGAUUGAUGGGAUGGACCAGAGAAAUGGACAUUCCCAACACAGUCCCUCCUUUCACAUCUGCUCACCUGCCCAGAGGAUACUAUCCACCAUGCAUAGUGGGCUCUGCACCAAGGAUUCAGCAGUGACCAAGAGGAAACUUGGACCCUUCUCUCUAGGAGCUGACACCAUUUAGUGAGGAGUCAGACAAGUAAAUAAAGAAGGAAAUGCCGUUAAACAUACAGGAUGAUUAUCACAGUUGUAAGGGGAAUGAGGGAACACUCUGGGAGCAUAAAGGAGGUGCAUCUAACCAAUUAUCAACUGCAUCAUCAAGUAUCAAGUCAGAAAGAUUAAAUUUCAUAAACCUUGCCUCUAAGCACCAACUUGAUGGUCACUCUGACAACACUAUAUUGGGCAUCCUCUCUAGGUCAGACCUGUGCUAGGAGCUGGGGGGAUAUAAGGAAGAAUAAGACAUAGCCCAUGCUCUUAAGGAGCUCACAAUCUAAUGGAGAAAAUCUCCAAAUAAACUAACACUUUCAGCAUAGUGCAGAGAUGGGGUCAUGCAAAAAGAACUAUAGAAAAACAGGGGUGGGGCCCCUAACACAGUGUGUAGGUCAGAGAAAGCUACUCCGAGGAGAUUAGUCCUGAGCUGAUUCUGAAGGGAUGAAUAGAGCUUAGUUGCUUGAAAAAUAUGGACAAGGUCAGUCCAGACAGAGGGAACUUCAUGGUCAAGAGUAUGGAGAUGAACCUGAGCAUAGAGGUUGGGGAAUGAGGCUUGAGCAAUAAGCAGGAGUCAGAGAAUGAAGGACCCUGUAUACCAUUCUGGGUACAACUGGAAAACUUGUACUUGAUCCUAUGUAAAAACAAAUAAGAUGUUGUGGGCCGGUGGGGGGCAAUUCUAAAGACAGAGGUAUAAGCCAAGGGGGCCGGGCUAUUACAGUCCAAGGGAGAAACGAUAACAGCCUGAGCUAGGCCUGUAAGAGCAGCAAAAGAGAGCAGAGAGACACAGAGCUGUUUGCAAGGUAGACGGAUGAGUGAUUGAUCGGCUGUGUGGCUAAGGCAGAGGAAGGAGUUUAUGAUGACUUCCAGUUUUCUAGUUUGUGUCCUGCCAGAAUUAGAGAUACAGAAGGAGCAAGGGUAGCAGAGGCAGGAGGGGAAGAAUGAGCUCAAUUUUGGACAUGUCAAAUUUGAGGUCCUUCUGGGUCAUCCUGGUAUGAGUGGCUCCCAAAGAAAGUGAUUUUGCAGAAAACAUGAUGCUUGCUACUUGCUCUCUUUUACUGAUAUAAAUUUGAAGAGGGGACAUAUAGUCUGGUAAUCUCACAUAGACAUAGAAAAGAUAUCAAAGCAGCCAGGAACCAAGCAUUAAGAACUCUCUCAUAUAGAGAGAGUGAACAAAUAAACCUCAUCAGACCAGCAGACUCUCCCAACCUACCCUGCAUUUCCCUGUUUGAUGUUCCUGCUAUUCCAGUGCUGAUGUCUAAGUAACUGUGCCACAAAGUAUACUGGGAAGCAGAACAAAUUGCCAAAAUUGUCUCAAGAUCUCCUUUUCUUCUGACAUGCACUAUGACUUGGGCAAAUGGAAAAUAAAUAAACCCAAACAUAAAAGAGGAAUUGCAGGCCCAUGUUCUUCUCAAGUGACUUUUAAGGGGAGGCAAAUGGAAAUGUUCACUUUGCUCUUAUUUGUAUCACUUUUUAAAAUAACUUUAUUGAUGUAGAAUUCACAUACUAUACAAUAAAAUCCUCUGAUGUCACUCCUAAGAUGGUAUGACUGUGAACAUGAGCACAAUCACCCUGAGAUGAUAGUGGUUUCAGCAUAGCUCUGUUCGUCUUUUUCCUUGAUACCUCCAUUAAAUUGUCUGCCUCCUUCUAUUAAACUACAUGAAUUUCUGGCUGAUUGCUCAAUUAUUUUUCAAUAAUUUUGGGGUUAUACAUUGCUUCACAGUUUGAUCCAGUUACAUUUAAGCAGGGGUAGCUUUAUGUCGUGAUUCUUUGAAGUUUGUUCUAACCCCAAGAAGACCCCUCUUAGCUGGGCCUUUCCCUGGUUCUCUCUGAUAAACAAGAUGGUCUGUGGUUAAGCUUUUUGCUCUAAUAGAGCUAUCGGCCUCUUAAUUGCUCACCAUUAAAAUCUCCAUCAUUUACCAGAGCAUCCUUACGCUUGAACUGCAACAUACUCCUUCAAACAAAGUCAGUUUCUUUGAGAGAACUUCAGCUACAUCUGUUCUUAUGGACUGACUCUCCCCCUGGGCAAAAUCUGUGAGUCACUGCUUUGAGUAUUGAGAAUCUCUUGCCUUGCUGGGUUGCUUCUCCCAGUAUGAAGCCUC